UGCAGUCGAACGGUUUUUCUUUACAGCUUGCUCUUACGGCUGGCGAGUGGAGGACGGGUGAGGAAUGCAUCGGAAUCUACUCUGUCGUGUGGGAUAACGUUAGGAAUCUUACGCUAAUACCGCAUACGACCUACGGUAGAUUCCAGGGGAUCUUCGGACCUUGCGCGAUUGAAUGACCCGAUGCCCGAUUACCUAGUUGGCGUAGUAAGAGCCCACCAAGGCGACUAUCGGUAGCUGGUCUGAGAGGAUGAUCAGCCACACUGAAACUGAAACCCGGUCCUGACUCCUACGGCAGACUCCUACGGGAAAUAUUGGACAAUGGUCGCAAGCCUGAUCCAACCAUACCGCGUGGGUGAACAAGGCCUUCGGGUUGUAAAGUCCUUUUGUUGGGAAAUAAAAGCAGCCGGUUAAUACCCGGAUGUUCUGACGGUACCCCCAUAAUAAGCUCCGGCUAACUUCGCGCCAGUAGCCGCGGGACUACAAACGGUGCAAGCGUUACUCGGAAUUACUGGGCGUAAAGCGUGCGUAGGAGAUUGAUUAAGUCUGUCGUGAUAGCCCUGAUCUCAACCUGCCAAUGUCGAUGGAAACUGGGCGACUAAAGUGUGGAGAAGUGUAUGGAAAUUCCUGGAGUAGCAUUGAAAUGCGUAGAGAUCAGUGAGGUACAUCUCGUGGACGAAGGCGACUGCCUGAAGCCAGCAUCUGCAUCACUGUAGGCACUGAACAGCUGUAGGGGUACGCAAAGCAGUGAUU
This 750-nucleotide ribosomal RNA is filed under the name Stenotrophomonas maltophilia. Its description in RNAcentral is "bacterial SSU rRNA". It matches the Rfam family "Bacterial small subunit ribosomal RNA", at positions 57 to 807 of the family's 1533-position model. The record is from RNAcentral. Lineage: Bacteria; Pseudomonadati; Pseudomonadota; Gammaproteobacteria; Lysobacterales; Lysobacteraceae.